Molecule: long non-coding RNA, 559 nt
Filed under: Vulpes vulpes (red fox)
Lineage: Eukaryota; Metazoa; Chordata; Mammalia; Carnivora; Canidae
Description: lncRNA (ENSVVUG00000014073.1)
Source: RNAcentral
AGAACUCAAAAAAAGCACAAAACACUUGCCUUCAAAGCAUAGUCAUACCAGUACCUUUAAAUUUUUCAUAUUUUCUUGCCUUUAACUCUAGUAAAUUACACAUAUUUUUUGUUUUUUUGUAUUUUCUUUUUACAGAUUAUAAAUCUGAAGGGUACAGAUUUGUUUUUAGUUGGUAAAAAAUUGUGUGUGAGAUUUAAUUGGGAAGGAGGGAUCCAUUCAUCGAUUCAAUGUACUCAAAUGUCCUGAAUAUGUGAAAGCAUCAAUUCCUCCCAGAUGUCUUUCCAUUGUGCAGCUCAGCAGGUAUCUUUUUAAAGGAAGGAAGAAGAUAAUUGUAAAUCUCGCAGAAUAUUCAGCCCAAAGCAUUGCAGCAAGCUGGUCUAAGAGAUUAUGUCUCUGAAGUUGUCGCUUCUAAGAUUUUUCUAUGGAAUGACCUCCAGGAGCAAAUGCCAUUGUAAUCACUUACUUUAUACAAGAAGUGACCCUCGUCUCUUCCUCGUAAAGCAUUCAUUUGAUUGGAUUUUGCUUUUAAAGAAGUUUGUAAAGUCCUAGUACAUGACUG